AUAAAUAGUUCUGUAACAAAACAAUUCGCCAGAGAACUACUAGCAACAGCUUAAAACUCAAAGGACUUGGCGGUGCUUUAUAUCCCUCUAGAGGAGCCUGUUCUAUAAUCGAUAAACCCCGAUAAACCUCACCAUCCCUUGCUAAUACAGUCUAUAUACCGCCAUCUUCAGCAAACCAAAG
This 181-nucleotide ribosomal RNA is filed under the name Vulpes vulpes (red fox). RNAcentral's name for it is "partial small subunit ribosomal RNA". Lineage: Eukaryota; Metazoa; Chordata; Mammalia; Carnivora; Canidae. The record is from RNAcentral.